GGAGAUUUAGCGCUUGCAUGGCAUGCAAGAGGUCGUCGGUUCGACCCCGAUACUCUCCA
RNAcentral lists this transfer RNA (59 nucleotides) under Chitinophagaceae bacterium. RNAcentral's name for it is "tRNA-Ser". It matches the Rfam family "tRNA". From Rfam's summary of the family: Transfer RNA (tRNA) molecules are approximately 80 nucleotides in length. Lineage: Bacteria; Pseudomonadati; Bacteroidota; Chitinophagia; Chitinophagales; Chitinophagaceae. The record is from RNAcentral.